RNAcentral lists this long non-coding RNA (386 nucleotides) under Salvia miltiorrhiza (redroot sage). RNAcentral describes it as "long non-coding RNA (SMIL_LNC002960)". The record is from RNAcentral. Lineage: Eukaryota; Viridiplantae; Streptophyta; Magnoliopsida; Lamiales; Lamiaceae.
UCUAAAGGCUUUCAAGUUGAACGCCAUCUUAUUAUAUUCUUCCCAAUGUUUCAGAUAUUAUGAUAAGGACUAAAGACAAUUGCUGCUGAUAUGUGUGAAUCACUGAUGUUUUAUGGAAUUUUUCUCUUGAGAUUUUGAGAUGUGAGGUAGCAGCAUGUUUUUCUUGAUAAUUUAGUGGUGUUAAUUGUUAUUUUCGAAAGAAAAAAGAAAAAUGAUGGUUCGGUUCGGUUACCGACCGAAACCGAUCGGUUUUGGUUGGUUCGGUUUUGGUCGGUUUUAGGCAUUUUGGCGGUUUGGUUCGGUCCGACUUCUAGGUAAGUCGGUUCGGUUUUGGUUUUAUAAAUCGGAUCGGUUCGGUUCGGUUUUGAACCGAUGCUCACCCCUAC